RNAcentral lists this small RNA (80 nucleotides) under Flavobacterium resistens. Its description in RNAcentral is "Flavo-1 RNA". It matches the Rfam family "Flavo-1 RNA". The record is from RNAcentral. Lineage: Bacteria; Pseudomonadati; Bacteroidota; Flavobacteriia; Flavobacteriales; Flavobacteriaceae.
CCAUAGCCCCGAUAGUAGCGGAAAUCCUUUUGCUUUUUUCUUUAAAAAGCAAAAGAUUGGAGCGGAUAGCGGGAAAUAGC